This 590-nucleotide ribosomal RNA is filed under the name uncultured Bacteroidales bacterium. Its description in RNAcentral is "bacterial SSU rRNA". It matches the Rfam family "Bacterial small subunit ribosomal RNA", at positions 155 to 743 of the family's 1533-position model. Lineage: Bacteria; Pseudomonadati; Bacteroidota; Bacteroidia; Bacteroidales. The record is from RNAcentral.
AAGGAAGAUUAAUACAAGAUGGCAUCAUGAGUCCGCAUGUUCACAUGAUUAAAGGUAUUCCGGUAGACGAUGGGGAUGCGUUCCAUUAGAUAGUAGGCGGGGUAACGGCCCACCUAGUCUUCGAUGGAUAGGGGUUCUGAGAGGAAGGUCCCCCACAUUGGAACUGAGACACGGUCCAAACUCCUACGGGAGGCAGCAGUGAGGAAUAUUGGUCAAUGGGCGAGAGCCUGAACCAGCCAAGUAGCGUGAAGGAUGACUGCCCUAUGGGUUGUAAACUUCUUUUAUAAAGGAAUAAAGUCGGGUAUGGAUACCCGUUUGCAUGUACUUUAUGAAUAAGGAUCGGCUAACUCCGUGCCAGCAGCCGCGGUAAUACGGAGGAUCCGAGCGUUAUCCGGAUUUAUUGGGUUUAAAGGGAGCGUAGAUGGAUGUUUAAGUCAGUUGUGAAAGUUUGCGGCUCAACCGUAAAAUUGCAGUUGAUACUGGAUAUCUUGAGUGCAGUUGAGGCAGGCGGAAUUCGUGGUGUAGCGGUGAAAUGCUUAGAUAUCACGAAGAACUCCGAUUGCGAAGGCAGCCUGCUAAGCUGCAACUGA